Daucus carota subsp. sativus is the source of this 3062-nucleotide RNA transcript. It is a transcript of the gene named bifunctional protein FolD 1, mitochondrial-like, with no coding region annotated. The record is from RefSeq and is a predicted model, not a curated record. The transcript has 6 exons. NCBI's taxonomy places the organism in Eukaryota, Viridiplantae, Streptophyta, Magnoliopsida, Apiales, Apiaceae.
UAAGUAAUGCAUCCUCAAACAGAUACACUGGAGUUUGAUGAAUACCGUCUAAAAUUACCUGACCCCAAUAUGAUUCCUCGGCUAUGGCGAUUCUACAAUCGUUUGCAAACACAUCUCCGCUCUUCGCCAUUUUCAACCGAUGUGAAUACAUGUGCUAUAAUUGAUGGAAAAUCCAUUGCCAAUGAUAUAAAAUCAAGUGUAGCUGAUGAAAUUAACAAAAUGAAGAAUUGUAUUGGGAAAUGCCCUGGAUUGGGCAUUGUUUUGGUGGGUCAGAGGCACGAUUCCCACACUUUUAUUCGACUCAAAUUACGGGCUUGUCAUGAAGUUGGUAUUGCUACUUUUCUCAAACAAUUGCCGGAAGAUUGUUCUCAAGAUGAGGUUUAUCAUGUUGUUUCAAAGCUAAAUGAUGAUCCCGAUGUGCAUGGUGUUAUUGUGCAGCUUCCGCUACCUAGACAUUUAAAUGAAGACAAGGUUGUGGAAUUUGUUAGUCCUGAAAAAGAUGUGGAUGGAUUGCAUCCUCUUAAUAUAGGAAUGCUUGCUAUGGGAAGAGAUCCGUUUUUCAUCCCUUGUGCCCCUAAAGCAUGCAUUGAAUUAUUACUCAGACAAGGUAUUGAAAUUACUGGUUCAAGAGUGGUGGUACUUGGGAAAAGCAAGAUUUCAGGGUUGCCCAUUUCCUUGUUACUGCAAAGUCACCUCGCAACUGUUAGCACAUUGCAUGCAUUUACUGAUAACCCAGAGCAUGUAACUCGCCAAGCUGACAUUGUAGUAUCGGAUGUUGGAAAUCCUAAUGUGGUUCGAGGUCAUUGGCUGAAACCUGGAGCUAUUGUCAUUGACAUGGGGGCCACACAAGUAAAAGACUCCAGUAGACAGUGUGGUUUUCGUAUAACAGGAGACGUUUGUUAUGAAGAAGCUAAUAAAGUUGUCUCAGCCAUUACCCCUGUGCCUGGAGGAGCGGGACCUGUUACAAUCUCGAUGCUCCUCUCAAACACUCUCGAGUCGGCCAAGCGUGCAUUCAGGUUCGGUUGAACACAGAUAUAUGGUUCCAAUAUAUAAAUCUUGAUUCAAGCUAUUUCCCAAGAUAAACGCCACAUAUCUAAUCCAGUCAGUGGGUGUUGGUGCAUAGAGAGCUCGAGCAGUCGUCGUGUUUAUUUUGGCAGUAACAUGCAUCGACACAUUUCUGGCACCAAAAAUGCUGGCAGAGGAAUAUCAAGUUAGUUCAGUUUUGCUACAUAGUUGGAACAAUGUGCACCCUCAAAUGCUCUAAUAGGCAUAGAUGAAUGGAAGAAUUUUGUUUCGUUUUCUUCACAGCAGUCAACAAUAUUGAGGUACCUUGUAAAUCCUGCCAGUCAAUAUAACUAUGCUGGUAUUGGCAAUAAAGAUAUGAGAGCCUGGCUUCCAGAGAUGACUGCUGGGCCUCUUUGGCGAAAUAAAAAAUCACACACAUUUUCUUUUGGAUAUACAGUAGUACAUUUAUUUUUUUUUGGCCAGAUUUUAGAUUUUUAGGCCCCUGAGCAUAGUGUUGAAAGUUUACAGGGCAGAAAACUGAAUGAUGCCUGAAACAUUAUCCUGAGUCACUGACUGUUGUUUAUUCUAAUAACCAAACUGAGUUACAGCACGUGUUGUGUUUAUUUUAACUUCCAAAUUAAGAAGAUAGAACAGUUUGGGCAAACCAGCUUCCGUAUCUGAUAUCAAGUCUUAUUUGGUUUUGCGAUUGCUCGCAAGGGUUGCAGUUUUUUUGACACCGGCCCUAGAGUCUCUUCCAUGUCUACUGUCUUCAGACCAUCACAAAGCUCCCACUCAAACUGCUGAAGCAUGGAGCCCAGAACCAAGGGCACCACACGAUGAGCCAACGGAAGACCUGGGCAAAAUUCUCCUCCCCGCCCCAAACGGCAAGAACUCAUAAUUCUGACCCUUGUAAUUAAAAUUGGAGUCCAAGAACCUCUCGGGCUUAAAUGACAAAGCAUCCUCCCAAUCAUCUUCAUCUGUUGCUAUUGCCCAGUUAUUGAUGAAAACCUGUGUGUCUUUGGGGAUUCUGUAGCCCAUGAAAUCGGUGUCUCGAUCGGCCUUUCUGGGAAGUAAGAUUGGUGCUGGAGGAUGGAGUCGCAGAGUUUCUUCCACAAUGGCUUUCAAGUCAAAUCUCUUUAGCCAGGGCAAGAAGUCGGAUAUAUUGGGACUGCCCAGGCACUGAUUGAAACCAUCCACAGCAGAGCAAAACUCAGAGGAAAUUUUGGACUGUGGAUCCAUGAGGUUCCGCGAAAGGGUGAGAUUCCCUAUCAUGUUCAACAAUGCUGGGUACACAAAUUGUCUAACCACAAUUCCAGUAGAUCCCUUUUGUGCUUCCUUUUCGAUCCACAAGAUUAGUUCAUCGACACUUUUUUGCCUGACCAUUAUGGUUUCUUUGAUCCUCUUGUUAGAAAAGAGCUCUGAGGUACAUAUUCGCCUCAAGGUGCGCCAGUAGGUGCCAUCUAGACCGAAGGCUAUAGAGCUCUUGUAGUAGUCGUGUGAGGUCACUGCAUCCGUUGUCAUCCGGUUUUUGAAGGAGAGAUCAUGGUUCUUAAACAGCUCUUCCACAGGCGCAGCAGAAAGAAGCACCAGGGUCUUGAAACUGCCGAGAUUUAGCCACACAACAGGACCGUAUUCGGCUUUAAGUGCUCUUGAAGUCCUGUGAGGCAAGCUUCCGAGAUCGAAAAGAUUGCCAAACAGCGGCCAGCCGCGAGGACCAGGAGGGAGCUUUGAGGUUUUGUGGCUAAUCUUCCUCCAUAAGUGCCAAACAAGAGGCAAACAUAUCAGUACUAAAGGCCAAGUGAGAUAGUAGUUCCAGUUCCACUGCAUGGCAAAACUUCAGAUCCCUCUGGUCAAAAUCAAAUUAGAGUGCAAAUAUGUAAAGAAAAAACAAUUUAAAAGAAAAUCCCAAGAGGAUACAUUAAAAACAUUACAUGCAAGUUGUAGAAAUACCUCUAAUACCUAACUGAGGUCUUGUAACUAUAUUUAAGGUAUCAUGCACAAAGCAAACUUAGCCCCUGUGUCCCCUGUGUGGUUAGUAAAAGCAAAAACUGCUUCUG